GCAGGCAGGACAGGGCUCGGACAGGCUGGGCAACGUGUCCAAGGUAGCAGAGAUGAGCCUAGACUCGGGAUCUAAGACUCUGGAGUGUCCUCCUGGGGAGGAGCUGCAUAAAGUGGAAGAUGCCGUGGGCAUGGAGGCACUGGAGACCUCCUGGACACUCCUCUGCCCCCUGUGCUCUUCUGGGAGUCCAAGUGCUUGAAGAGGGGCCAGGCUGCAGAGUGCAGAGGAGGAAGGAGGAAGGACCCAAUGGGCAGAAUCCAGACUUUCGGCUGGCAUCAGUGAAGGAGUGCCGGAAGCAUUCUGCAGGCUGAGGAGCCAACACCAAAGCACAGGGGCCUCCGAGGAGCCAGCAGCCCCAGAGCCCCAUUCCCAGCAGCGGGAGAUGGCCAGAAAGAAAAAGAACAGAAGCCCAGCAUGUCACGGCUCCAGGCCUAAGGAGUUACUGACUGGUGGACAGUGUGUGCUGCUGGGGACAGACCCUGCGACCCUGCCCUCCCCCUCCGAGCUUGGAGUCAGCUGUAGGUACGGGGGAAAGGGAAACCAAUGUGAACGGGACCAUCACCACAGCUGUCCUGGGCAAAGGCU
Long non-coding RNA from Peromyscus eremicus (cactus mouse), 585 nucleotides. RefSeq lists it as uncharacterized. Lineage: Eukaryota; Metazoa; Chordata; Mammalia; Rodentia; Cricetidae. The record is from RefSeq and is a predicted model, not a curated record. The transcript has 3 exons.